This 288-nucleotide ribosomal RNA is filed under the name uncultured bacterium. RNAcentral describes it as "partial 16S ribosomal RNA". It matches the Rfam family "Bacterial small subunit ribosomal RNA", at positions 28 to 312 of the family's 1533-position model. The record is from RNAcentral.
GAUGAACGCUAGCGGCAGGCUUAACACAUGCAAGUCGAGGGGUAGAGGAAGCUUGCUUCCUUGAGACCGGCGCACGGGUGCGUAACGCGUAUACAAUCUACCUUUUACAGAGGGAUAGCCCCAGAGAAAUUUGGAUUAAUACCUCAUAGUAUUUUCGGAUCGCAUGAUUUGAUUAUUAAAGUUACCAACGGUAAAGAAUGAGUAUGCGUCCCAUUAGCUAGAUGGUAAGGUAACGGCGUUACCAUGGCAAUGAUGGGUAGGGGGUCCGUGAGAGGGAGAUCCCCCACA